AAUACCUGCAUAUCACAUUUCAUUUCCAUUUUGAUCUUAAAUUUCCCUGCAGGUUAAAAAGCAACAGGGACCACUUUAUUCUGAAAAUCACCUUGUCAAGUGGAUCUAGCAAUGGGGUCAUCAGGAUUGAAAGCCCUGAUCUUCGGACUUCUAGUCUUGGGCACUUUCUUCUGCUCCCUUGGUAUGAGUGCUCUCUGAAAUCCAUUUCCUCCUCUUCUUGGCUUGACUAUCCAUCACAAACUUCCUUGCCAUUAGGUGCAGUGAAGUGUCUGAAUUCUGGCCAAUGCAAUGGGAAUGCAAGGCAUGCAAACCUCUUCCGUGGCUCAGACUAUAAACUCUUCCCAUGCAUAUUCCUCUAAGCUGUUUUGCCUUUUGGCUGACUGAAGAACAGAUAACAAUGGCAGCCUUAGAAGCCAAGAACUGGAAGAUAACUGAGCCACAGUUGGCCUAGUUCUCUGAAUGACUAAAUGAAGCAAAGUCACCUUCACUUCCCAUUUUGUCACCAAUCUCAAACUGCCCUGGACAUCAAGAAAUGACCUCGUGUUAUGUUGAGUCAUCACAUGUCUGGGUUAACUUAUCAUUAGACUCUCUUAGCCAUAACAGACAGCCAGCCCUGCAUACCAGCUCAUCUGGACCUCAGCAGCAGCAGCAGCAGCAACAGCAGCAACAUGCCUCUUGUUCUGCUUUACAGAGACGAUCAGUUCCAUCCCUGCAGGGAUUCUUCAGGGCACUCAUAAAUCAUUAAGCCAAAAUCAUCUGGGGAAGUGAAUAACCAGGCACAGUCAUUUGGGGGCAGGGUGAAGAAGAAGAUGAGGUCAGGCUUUGCAGUCAAACAAACCUCAAUUUGAUGUCCAACUGUAUCGCCUAUUAAUUGUGCAAAAUAUGGCCAGUUUCUUAGCCUCUCUGUGUCUUGGUUUGCUCAUCUGUAAAAUGGACAGAUUGUUGAGUUUAAUUUACCUUGAGAGCAAACUCCUGGGAUUAUCAAACCAACAGGAGCUGCCCUUUCUACAGGAAGAAAAUGAGGGGAUGAUUAGAUCUGAAAGCACCUUCAAAGGGUGACCAUCCUGCUUAGUGCUGCUUUGACAACAUCAUUUGUGAAUCUCCUUUCAACAAAGGGACCAGGCCUCAAACUCAGAAUGAGAGAAGUGAUUACCUUUGCCUAUAAAACUACAUAUAAGACAGCAUCAGCCUGGAUUCCAAGCUCCUUUCCAGCACAUUCUGAUGCCCUCUGAUAUUCUCUACUGCUGUCUCUCCUGCCUUCAAGUUAUUGCCAGAAAGAAUUUUGAUCUGGUCCACUCUGUGCUUUCCCAUCUCGGUUUGGCUUCUGCUAUUCUCUCUGGGUAGAGCAUCCUCCGUCUUUCCUGCCACACAGAUCUUUGCUAUUACUCUUUCCUCUGAAGUACUCCUAGAGCACAUAGGUAUUUCUCCUUAGUAUUUGUGGUACCAUGCCUUAUUUCAUAGCCGUGUGUAAGAACCACCUAGGAACUUUUUUAAAACUACUGAUGCCUUAUCCCUAGCUUGGAAUUUCUAGCUUUCUGUAUGUACAGUGAAGCCUGGGACUUGGAUGCUUCUUAGAACUCACUAGAGGAGUCUAGUGUACAGCAAUGUUUGAGAACCACUCACUGCCACGGACACUCAUGAUCUGCUGCAAGCCCUUGCUAUUGGACAGUCAGUUUCUCAAGUUUGCUCGACUUGGUAUAGAUGGAACGGCAGUGGAGAAAUACUCCAGCAUCUAAAUCCACCCUGGUCUUAUUCCAGGACACGAAUCUCUGACAGAUUUUAAAUCAGGAUUCUAUUACAUGAUUGUGCAGGUUAUUAGAAACAGACCACCAGGAACAGGAAAGCAUCACAGCAACUCAGCCAAGCUUUGGACUGCUUCCCCCAUCUAGGAAAUGUAUCAUGCAGGCUAUUUUCAGUUGUUAAUUAGUCAUGGAAAAAGGAACCAUCUGCUUCCACCAGGUAUGGACACUAGAAACUUCUCCUCCAUGUAAUACACUUCACUUCUUCAUCAACUUGCCAUGGAUCAGACAGACAGCUGCCUUCCAUCCUGCGUCUUUCACCGUGGGUCAUGUGAAAAACUUCGGGAUACACACAUGGGUAUGGUCUGUUCUCAAAACCAAACAGUUCACCGUGAGUUUAAAUGGGUACCAUUAUAAUUCAUGGUAAAAAUCUAAUACCGGCCCUGAGCUGUCAUCAGAGACAUGAUUUAAGCGUCUAAAACACCCAGCAUGAUCAAGAAUUCUGUCUCGGGUUAGACUAUCUUACUGAUGCUUAAAGGAUACCGUCAGCUUUCUUCUCUUGAGUUUUUCCCGGUGACAGUUUACAUGUUUUAUUCUAGACUCCAUCUCUCUCAGCGCCCCCAGAGGCUUCUAUCAGUGAGAAAUGGCACGCCAGCUUCUCCUAAAACCAUUAUUAACGACAGACCGAUUUCUGCAGCGUCUGAACUCACAUGUACUUCUUCCUGCCAUCUUCAUUCCUCAGAUUGUAGAAGAGUGACAAAGUCUAGGCUUCAUGGAGAGAGAGUUAACUUACGGGGCCUGGCAGGGAACUGAAAGGCAGGGAGGUGCAAGUGAUUCUCCUUUCGUCCCUCUUCAUUAUUAUCAUCUUCCUCUCCACAUUUUUUCCCCUUUCCACACCUAUGUCUAUUCAGGUUUUUCAUCUGGUCUUUUAGGUACCGUACCUUCAUUCCUCAUCCUUGGCUCAGCUCUUGAUAUUUCAUUCUUUUUUUUUCUUUUUUUAUCCUACAAACUCCACUUCAGGUUUUGAGGCCACCUCUCUCUUCAAGGGUGAAUCUCCCAGGGGCACCAUCAUCCCUGUCACCUCCUCUUCAUCCCAGGCAAUGCCGGUUGCUAGUGGCAGUGGAGACAAGGCCUUUCAGAUAUAGAUUUCAGCACAUUAAAAGAUCUGAGCUUCUGCCAUGGUAAAAAAAUGUGCAUGGAUGUGAUCAAGACCCAUACAGGGAAGAAUCCAGAAAAAGAAGUGAAAACAUUCUUAGCAUGGAGAGAUUUGGGGAGGCGCUUUGUUUACUUUUCUGAAUGCCAUUAUAACUUUGUUAGUAUAAUUUUAAACAAAAAUUUUUGCACUUUUAAAAAAGCUGAUUCAAAGUAUCUAAAAUACAUGAAAGCUAUUAUUAUUAUUAUUAUUAUUUUAAAGAAACCUGAAGUGUAUUUUGAGAGUAGGUCAUCCAAAGAGUGGGAAAGAAAAUAGAACCUUGGUAGAAGAAUGCUUAGCAUCUGGACAGAGGACACGGCCCACCCAGUUAGGCACAGUUGACUGUGGGGACUGGGCUACAUCCUUCCCUGAGGAUCAUGUCCUCUCCAUCUGAGCUGACACAGUUCUCCCACCCCCUUCAGCCUUGCAUUUACUUCCCCAGCUCUUUUGUGCCACUCCUUUGGUUUCUCCCUUCCGCCCCACUUCACAGCUGGGAGGUGACAUCUAACACUUCCCAGCAGCAUAUGCUGGCAGGAGCAGGUGCCAAAGCAGCGGAGACUGCUAGAAAGGAAGAGAAUCCCACAAAGGACCAGGCUCUGCCUCACAUGCCCCGGCUGUCCUUUCCUCUGGGUCUCAGGGACAGGGCAGCCCCUGUUGAUUGUACUGGUGUUAUUCUCACAUGCAUAAACAGCAUUUGGGGGAGCUGCAGAAAGCAAGUGUCCCCUGAGCUGGUUGAAACGGCUCAGCUUUUCUUCCAGGGCAAGUGCUGUGUUCAUGCCCUUCACUCCCCUUGCUGUUACCCAGUAAAAACAUGGUGCAGCCCUUAAUAGUUAAGAGCCAGGCUCUGCAGCUACACCUUUGCAAAACCAAACUCUGGUCCUUGAUAGUAUCAGGACCUGGACAAGUUGUAGUGUGACAAUUUGUCAUUUUCUUAUCUAUGAAAUGUCUAUUCUUAAGAACUCAUUGAGAUAACACAUAUUAAAUGAUCUAAGUAUAGUAAGCUCAAUACUUGAGUUUUUAUUACCAAGUCACCCUCUGUGUUAGGUUUGCAAGCUGAAGUGACAAAUAAGAAAGGAGAGGCAGUUUUUCAUCUGCUCCCAGAGGGCCACAUUCUUUAGUUUAGGGAGAAGAAAAGGUACUUCUGUAAUCCACCGGAAGUUCAGCUUCCUCCUUCCCACUGCAAAAUGAGCUCCGGACAGAAGACAGGAAACAUCUCUUUAGGAUAGAAUAUGAUGCAUCUCCUCAUUCUUUCAUUCAUGCACUCAAGAAAUAUUUAUUGAGCACUUGACUUGUAUGCCAACACUGACUUUUGUAGGAGCUCAGGAGACAGCUUUGAGGAAGCAGAUUUCCUUACCCCAUGGAACUUAGAGUCUAGAAAACAAAUAUUAAACAGGUACACACUUGCACACACACACACACACACAUAUAUACUUGCUCCUUUUUUAUAAUGGUUCAGGUGUUACAAGUUAUGUGAAGAAAAGCAAAUGAGUUAAAAUGAUAAAGAAUGAGGCAGAGAAAGGGAGGGAAUCAUUUACACAUUUCACAUGACUGGUCACAGAAAAAUCUCUUUGCUAGGGAGAUGUUUGGGUAGAGCCUUCUCUGGAGACCUCCCAGAAAAGUGUUCUUCCAUAAAGCAAAAGCCAAUCUAAUGCCCAGGAAUUCCUAAUAUGCAUGACAUUCAGGGAAAAUCAUUUUUUUUCACACAUCCCUUCUCCAUGUGACAACAUGAUUUACAACCAUAGUCAUGAAGUGAAACAAGUUUUAUUCAUAUAUAAACUGUGCACUCACCGAGCAAAUGUUCUUUGUGGUACCUAAAUGUUAAGCAUAAACAAAAGACCCACAAGACUUAAUAGAGAAUGACAUAACUAUUGUAACUCAAGGGUCAUUUCUUCAAUUGUACAAUCACUCUGCCUCCACUGGUUAUUUAAAAUCAACUUUCAAAUGUGGAAACACAUGAUACCAACAUUGGCUGGAGAAGAGAGCUGUACCCACCCGAAGCAAGAGAAGGAUCUGGAAUUGUUAACAUCGAAUGAGUUUAUAGCUGAGACCCUGCAUCCGUAGGCAUAACUUGGACCUCUCAGAAUUAGCUUCCAUGUAGAAUAUAGUGUCUAUUAAACAACAAAAAUGUGCUAAUUUUGAGUUUAUAUGUAUAUCCUUGAAAAUUAAUAGAAACCAUCGCUGCAACAUAUUUUGAGGGAGAAAAAGUAUUUUAUCGCUGACAUCCUUUGGAAAUGCCAGGGUUUGGCUAUCAUAAAAAGCAGAAUACCUCUUAGCUGGUUUUACAAUAGUUUCAAGUUUUCUAUGUGCUUGCUUCCUGCCUGUAUCCAGGGUGUGUUUUUCUACUGCCCUGCACUGAGUGUGUCCCCGAUUAGGGGAGCUGGUGUCCCCGAUUAGGGGAACUGGUGACCCCUCCUCAUUUCCACAUACAGCAGGACCCUUCUUCCAAACACGUUUCCCGCUGUCACUCAUGGACCCUUCAGACCCUGGGGUACAGUAACCCAGAUCCUAGAAGUAAAGCAAUGUGACCCAGAUGCUGUAACUCAGGAAAAAAUUAUCUCACACCUCUAGAAACUGGAGCCUCUUGGCCUUCAGGUUUGUUAGCAAGAGCAGCACCUUAGUUUUGAGAGCAGAUAGCAGAUGUUUUCUGAGCACCCAUAAUAUGUGUGAUGACAAGCUAGAGAAUGAGGGAGACACUCAAAGUACAGGGCAUGGUCUCGAACCAUAAGAGUUUUGUAAUCAGGGUUGAGAGACAAAACAGAAAGAUAUACACAGCUUAAACCUAGAAACACAGAGAAAGUAAAUUCAAGAGAUAGAAGAUUAUCAAACAGAGGGAUUAUUUUCAUCAGGGAUGACCAAUAAAAACUUCUGUCUUGCUUUUGCCCUGGGUCUCAAAAGGCUGAAAUACCAUGGGAUGAGGAAAGAAGAUGAGGAGGAGAAAUCUCCAAGUGGAGUUGAUGUCAGGAGUGUAGGGAAGGCAGAACGUGUUGUGAAGUCAAGCAACAUUCUGGAUGAUGUUCAUCAUGAAGACAAAAACACUAGAAGUAGAAUGGACCCAGAAGGUGACCUCACAUACCAGAUGAAAGAAUGGGGCAUUUAGGUAGUUGGGAGUCAUCGAGUAUUUUACACAAGGAAGUGAUCAAAUUAAAGAGGUAUUUUUUGGGAAGAUGAACCUGGUGGUCAUCUAAAGGAUGAGGUAAGGGGAGAAGGCAAAGGAGGAGCAAAUGAGGACAUAAGCAUAAGAAGAUAAAGACCUGGAUUGAGGAGAUUCACCUUCACAUAUAAUGGAAACGCGCGAGAUUGGACAAGGGCUCAAAUGCUACAAAGUUCAAACUCCCAGUGUGAAUUUAUUUUUAAUAUCAGGAAUAUGGGGCUGGGGAUGCGGCUCAAGCGGUAGCGCACUCGCCUGGCAUGCAUGCGGCCCGGGUUCGAUCCUCAGCACCACCUACAAACAAAGAUGUUGUGUCCGCCGAAAACUAAAAAAUAAAUAUUAAAAAAAAAAAUCUCUCUUUAAAAAAAUAUAUCAGGAAUAUGAAGAGAAGGGUCUGGAAAAAAUAGCCACACAACUGGCAUCUAGGAAAGUUCUCUUCUGUUUGUUAAUGCAUUGUUUCAUAUUAAAUAUUCUGUACUAAAGAUUCCUAAAGAAAUAAGACAGACAUGGGUAAAUAAGACAUGGGUAAAGCAUUCUCUGUGAAUCAUGAUUUCUCCAUAAAAAGCAGUAAAAUGGGGCUGGGGUUGUGGCUCCGUGGUGGAGCGCUUGCCUAGCACAUGUGAGGCACUGGGUUUGAUCCUCAGCACUGCAUAAAAAUAAAUAAAUAAAAUAAAAGAAUUGUGUCCAUCUGCAAUUAAAAAAAAAAGUAAAGUACCCAACCUCACAAAAAAGCAAACAAUUCUUUGCACAAUGUUCUAAGAAUAUUCUUUUUUUUUAUUGGUUGUUCAAAACAUUACAAAGCUCAUGAUAUAUCAUCUUUCAUACAUUUGACUCAAUUGGGUUAUGAACUCCCAUUUUUACCCCAAAUACGAAUUGCAGAAUCACAUCGGUUACACAUUCACAUUUUUACAUAAUGGCAUAUUAGUGACUGUUGUAUUCUGCUACCUUUCCUAUCCCCUACUAUCCCCCCUCUCCUCCCCUCCCAUCUUCCCUCUCUACCUCAUCUGCUGUUGUUCAAUUCUCUCCCUUCUUUCCCUCCCCCUUUCCCCUCACAACCUCUUAUAUGUAAUUUUGUGUAACAUUGAGGGUCUCCUACCAUUUCCUUUCCAGCAGUUUGCCCUACCUGGACAGCCUGGUGUUCAGUCAGAUGAUACAGAGUGAAAUGACCCUUUUAGGAAUUUAAGAACUCGCCUCGAUUUCUAACUCUUUUUCUUGAAAAUAGAAGUAGAUUUUAUCAUAGACACAUUUAAAAAGCUGUAUUUUAGUUCACCCUCUGAGUGUGCUGUACUUCAGGGCCUCAUUCUAUUGGUGACUUCUGUGCUACUUCAUCCACUCUUCACUUUAAACAGCACUCCCCAGAAAAACCCUACAGCUCUCUCCAAAUCAGAGAAACGCCCUGUUCUUUUUUCAUGAGCUGCAUUAAGGGAAAAGUACAGGUUUUGAGAGGCAGCCGUUAUAUUUAUGGUCUUUAAUGGUUAUUUUCAGGCAUAGUUCAUGUAACAAAUUUGGAGUUGUAAUUUGUUCAUUCUCCAAUUCACUCAAAUUAAAAAAUUAACGCUAUCCAGGCACUGUGGUGAACACCUGUAAUCCCAGCAGCUUGGGAGGCUGAGGCAGGAGGAUCGCAAGUUCAAAGCUAGCAUCAACAAACUUAGUGAGGCCCUAAGCAACUUAGCAAGACCCUAUCUCUAAACAAAAUAUAAUAAGGGCUGGGGACGUGGCUCAGUACUUAAAAGCCCCUGGUUUCAAUCCCUGGUACCAAAAGAUGAUAAUGAUGAUAAUAAUAAUAAUAAAUGCUAUAGUUAAAAUAUUAUGAAUAUAGCUUCCAAAUUCUUGCUCACCCGAGCAUCUGUGUGAGGCUUCUCUCAGGAGUUUAGCAAAGAGACCCCACAUUCUAGGCAGGACAGGCAGGAUUUGGGUUCUCUGGGGAGGGGAGAACAGAAAACCUAACUAGAUGAAAAACCUUGACACUUCAAGAGAUGGGGAGGACAUCCAUCUUUUUGUGUAGCAAUUUUUUUUCCCAGAUUUGAGAUUUGUUUUUAUUUUCUUGACCUGGAGAUUUUAAUUUCCACGGAAACAAACAAAAAUCUCUUUUCACUUCUUGUAAAAAUAAGGGGAGUUGGGGGGACACAGCCCCAUUGCAUACCUUAUCUACAAGGUGGCAGGGAAGGCGGGGUUUCCACCAUCCGAAAUCAGUGCCGAUGGUUGCCUGAUUCAGUCUCCAUCAGGGUGAUUUUCACACUUCUAAAAAAACCCAUCUUUCUAAACAUCAUGAAUAAUGGAUUGAGAUUUCUAAAACCCCCUUCAUUUCCCUCCACAAUUUAAAUCAAGCUCUUUCAAAGCCAACAUGCUACAUAUUGAUUGAAGUCUGCAAAAGGUUAUAAAUAGUAAAGGUUGAAAAUUUUCCACAAAGGUAAGCAGAUGAAUAAAAACUACUUAAACUACAGACGGGCAAGGUGUGUUUGUCAGCAGCACUGUCCUUCAUCACCGUGCUAUUGUCUUGAAGGGACACAAUAAACAGAAACGGGCAGUGAUACCCUUGUGCUUGCCUCUGAGCUCAACCCUGCAUGUACUUCCAGCCUCCUCCAAAUCAGAGCUAUGCUGCCCCUUUCUUAAGGCCAAACUUGGUGCAGGAAGCUGUAUGUAGCUUCAAAUCCAAAUGCAGUCUCCCUCUGACACUGGAUAUUGUUCAAAUCCUGUAUGUUCUGUGUACUCCGUGGCAUUCAAGCUAAUAUCUGUAAACUGUUUGUCAAGUAGCAAAUUCCAAGCUAGAGGAUUUUUUCCUCUUCCUGCAAAUUUCAUUUGUAACUCCCACCAAUGAGCUGUAUCGGGAGACAAGAUCAUGUGUCAAAACAUCAAAUCUUUACAGUGAUGCAUAAUACUGUAAAAAUAGGAAGAGAAUAUCUGAGGCUGGAACAAAAAAAAAAAAAAAAAGAGGGUUUUCAUGGACAAGGUGGCCCAAAACCUUAGUAAUAUGUUAUCUGAAUAGUGUUUUAUAACAUCCACGGUACUCUCAGGAACUUUGUUUUAUCCGAUCCUCAGAACAGCACCCUGAGCUGUUCCAUUUCCUAUGAAGCUCCAAGUAACUUCCAUAUAACCAAUAUUUAUUGAGUAACUAAUGUAUGCCAGUUGCUGGUAAUGGGGGAGAAAUCCAACAAUGUGCUCUGCAAACAGAAAGAAGGCCAACAUGGCUGGAGCUGAGGGAGAGAACCGUAAGAGAUGGGUUGCAGAGGUGGGAAAGGGCUUAUCUACUUGAGAGCGGGGAAUCAAGACGGAGAAGGAUCAAGUAGGGGGUCACAUCCACCAGGCAGGUAGUACGGCUGGAGCCUAAGUCGUAAGUGCUGGCACUGGAGUCCAACCAACAGUCCUGCACCUCUCCAUGUGCCCUUCUACUACUCCAUGUUCCUCAAACGGCUUUACCAUCUCAAGGCCAACCUCAAGGCCAACCUCAAGAGGUGAAGCAGGCAGAGAAAAAGGAGCGCUGAUAUUCCAAACCCAACCUUAGAUCCUGUUUAUCUGAUGGACUAUCUGAUUUUCACAUGAGCAGCAUAUUUUUUUUUUUUUGCCUGAAUUUUAAAACAUGGAAUUUCCCCCAAAUACUAAGGAAUAUUGUCUUUCCUGCCUAUCCUUGGUGGCCUCUGGGCUGAAGAUUCCGUUGGCUGGUUCUACACUCUGGGGUAAACUCACGCACUGCAGGUAGAAUAUAAUUAUCAGAGGAAACCGAAAAGGUGACCGGAGAAGAAAAGAUAAAACAUGCUUAAUACCUCUAGGGAAUGAAUCCAAAUGGAUCUUGAUGGGUAUUUGUAAGGAGAAUGUAAUAUCAGUGCUUUCCCAUUCUUCUUUAAGAGAAUUUGAAUACUGUCUUUCUCUCACCGUUUCUACAUGAACUCAAAUUGCUUUAGAAACCUGUCAUAUUGAAUUAGCCAAAGCAGAUAGUAAUUCAGAGGGGUGCCAGAGUGCCAUUGUUGAAAACUGCUGGUUGGAAGGCUUGUUGUGGCAUUAUUCAGGGGCUCUAAACUUGCUUUCAACAGUGUGUUGCUAUGAAUGAUGGGGUUUCUGUGGGGUUUGGAUUAAAUAUCUCUAAAAGCCCAUCACAAAGAUGAGAGUAUCUGCACUGGGAAUGGUGCACACUUAGGGUCAACAUCGGAACCAUGAAUCAUAGAAUAGGAAACAAGAGGCCUUGGUUGGCCCCACACUGUGGUCACUUGGCAUGGACCACAACCAGAACAGACCUUGCAAUGGAGCAGCAAGAACAAUCAGGUAUGGAAGCUCCUUGACCUUGACAUGAAAUAAAUGAGGAAUAAGGAACAAAGAACAGAGACCUGAAAACCACCACUCUUCCUCCUGAUCCUAAUGGCUGGUCCUCUCCUGGGAAAUCUGCUUAGGGUCAUCUUUGAUCACACUACCCUCAUCAUCAUUUUUUUUAAGACGUCGUGAUAUUUGGUCUCUCUAUUCAUUUAAUUACUUGUUCGGCUACUGUCUGUCCCUUACAUUCCAGAAGGUAAUCUCCAUGGGAAAUUGAAUCUUGGCGGUCUUACCACCAGCCCUAAGGAGCAAUUCCUGGAGCAUAGUAGGCACUCAAUAAAUACAUAUCAAAGGAAUAUCAAAUUCACAAAAAACAUAUAUACUAUCCCAGGGCCAUUCUGUGUGUAAGAACAUUGUUUGAUUAGCUGUUAUAGUAAAGCCUAUGCAGGCUAGAAUCUGGCAGUCAACAUUGAAUUGUCAGUUCUGACCAGAGACUGGCUGUAUGCCUAACCGGUUCCUUGCAGCAGGAACUUCAUCUGCGAAAUAGCUAGGAAGCCAUUGCAGGUCUUUGCACAAUGUGUAAACCCACUCUUUAGUAGGAUUAAGAAAAAUAGUAGCCAUCUUCUCAAUACCUCAUAAUAAAAAUUUUAGAUUUAUCUUUGAGCCUUGUCUAAUGCAAAAAAAAAUAUUUUUUGCAACAUUUUAUUUUGAAUUAUUCUAAGUCUAUACAGAUAGAUUGCAAUAAUUGCAAAUGAACACUAGAUUGACCAACUGCUUAUACAUCGACCUUUGCUUACUCUCUACAUGCCUUUCAGUAUGCAUGUAUGUGUCUGCGACUGAGUAUGUGAGUAGGUACACUGUAUGCAUGCAUGUGUAUGUGUGCAUGCAAAUGUAUGUGUGUAUGGGUCUAUAUUUGUGUGUAUGCCUUGUGUGCGCAUGUAUGUGCAUUAUCUGUGCAUGUAUGAAUAUAUGGUCAUUAAAUGUGAGUA
Long non-coding RNA from Marmota monax (woodchuck), 11310 nucleotides. RefSeq lists it as uncharacterized. The record is from RefSeq and is a predicted model, not a curated record. Lineage: Eukaryota; Metazoa; Chordata; Mammalia; Rodentia; Sciuridae. The transcript has 3 exons.